GUUCUUCCCAGCGCUAAGUGAAAAACAGUUCGCCAGCUGCAGCAGCACUGUGUGCAGAGACCCGUUAAAUUGUUGGCUUCAGGAUCUGGCGUUCAUAAGAAGCAUGAAAGGAGAUCAAAUAACGCAAAAGGAACCAGAGGGACUUCGCUGGCGAGGCUUCAGUCACAUGUGGCGAUGCGCUCCCUGCAGGAUUCAGCCGGAGUCCAUGUGGUGCAGAAACUACGCGACCACCAGGAAGUAUUGGACGUGUACGUGUCAGCGCCCGCGGUGGGACACCUGUACGGACCCAGCCGCACGCCCGGCCAGCAGGGGCUGGCUUGUCAACUAUCCCGCCUGCGCCUGCGCGGAGGCCUCAGAUAACUUCGUUUUAUGCCGAGUAAAAUAAAGCAAAACACAAUAAAAUGGAAAUAAAAAUAAAAUACAAAAAAACCUGCGAGACAUAAAGCCCCGUUGUGCAAGGGAAUGAAUAAUAUUCAAGGAAAGGUAAUCAUUUCUAUAAAUGGGAGGCAUUUUAAAG
Molecule: long non-coding RNA, 517 nt
Filed under: Lepisosteus oculatus (spotted gar)
Lineage: Eukaryota; Metazoa; Chordata; Actinopteri; Semionotiformes; Lepisosteidae
Description: lncRNA (ENSLOCG00000022955.1)
Source: RNAcentral